Molecule: long non-coding RNA, 187 nt
Filed under: Fukomys damarensis (Damara mole-rat)
Lineage: Eukaryota; Metazoa; Chordata; Mammalia; Rodentia; Bathyergidae
Description: lncRNA (ENSFDAG00000025500.1)
Source: RNAcentral
GGGACAGCUCUGACUCUGUAAUCUGGACAGACUGACUUUGAGCUCAGAUUGGGAGAAAACGCCACUUUGGGAGGAUGUUUCAAGACCUCUUAUGAACUCUGGCUCCUUCUCCAGACUGACCACAAAUCCAAGAGCAGAGUGAAGAUGAUGCCAUCUUUCCACUACCUCUUUCUGACUUGCCCACCAC